AUUGAGGUCUAUCCCGAUGGGGUUUUGCAGUAUGCCCUUGUCGUUGGAAAUGCCUCAGAGAUAAAGCUUGCAGUUUGGUUUGCCUGCUAAAUGUUGUUGUUAGGAGGUUAAUAACUGCAUAACACUA
This is a small nucleolar RNA of Hyla sarda, 127 nucleotides long. The record is from RefSeq and is a predicted model, not a curated record. NCBI's taxonomy places the organism in Eukaryota, Metazoa, Chordata, Amphibia, Anura, Hylidae.